GACGCAGCUUUGGAAGGCCCCCAGCUCUGAGGGGUGGCGCUGGCCUCCUCGAUGCUCCUGGCCUCUGCUGGCCUCCUCCUGGGCCUCCUCUGGUGCUGUUGCUCUCCCAGCUGGCUGGCCUGGCAACCUGGUGCCCGUGGCCUCUGCCUCCACUGCAGCACAGCCUGUACCACGUGCUACCCAUGUCCCAGCCAGGUCUCCCCAGGGGGCUGCAGCUCCACUGAGUGAAGCCCUCAUCAAAGACUCAGGAGGCCCCUGGCGGGGAUAGCACCGUUUAUUAAGAAAAAUCAAGACAAAGACCACAGGAGGGUCCCUUCUAGGACACAGAGGCCAGGCGUCCCAACCCCACAGUCUGGGGGCCACUGGCAGGAUGGCACUUGAGCUGGAUCUUCAGGCUCCUGCAGAUGGGGCAGGGUGGUCAUAUCCCCCUCCUCUCUCUCUCAGUCGUGAGUCCUGCCUUCCCCCACCUAAGGCACUAGCUCUUCCUGAGCACCAGCGGCAUCCGUCCGUCCGUUGUCUGUUGGAGGAGUCCCUGGGCCUUCACUUCCAGAUGGGUGGGGAUGUGGCCUGGGGUGGGCGGGGCCCGGUGGGCGGGGCCCUAUCAGUGCUGGGCUCUGCCUGUAGCAGCUCCUGGUAAGAGUUGGGGUGGGCCUUCCCUUACAGCCCCUGAGGGAGGGACCCCAGGCUGUGUGCUGGCAGGAGGGGGUGGGAAUGCAGGCCAGGAGGACGUGGUAGGAGGGGGAGUCUGCCAGAGGAGGUGCCAGGGGCUGGGUGGAGGUGGGUGGGGGUGCUGAAAAACGAGCUGGUGGGGAUGGGGACCGCCUGCCCAGGGGUGAGCUGCCUUUUGCUCCACAGCCGGCACUAAAGACAAUUCCCAAUCCUGAGUGGGUGGCAGAGACUCCUGCGAUGCCCGUCUCAGGUAGCUGUGGGGCACCAGCCCACAAGCCGAGGUUGGCUCUCCUAGGAGUGAGAACUGCCCAAGGGCUGCAGAAACAGGCCACCCAGCUCUAUCUGGGGGCUCCAUCGGUGGGUAGGGGGACAGUGGGGGCAGUUCUGGGCCCACCCAGCCACUGUUCCUGACCCCAAGUCCUGGUGACUUUCUGAGGUGCCCACUCCCAUCCAACCUGCCUUGCUGGCCAGCCUUGUGGCUUUGCCCAGCUGUGUGUGUGAGGGUGGCAUGCCCACCUCCAGUCCAGCCCAGGGCGGUAGCAGCAAAGCGUGGCAUCGCCUCGGUUUCUUACAAAAAUUCAUAAUAAUAUUAAUAAUAAUAUACUCGACAUUGUCGGGCUGGGGCGUGGCCCGGGAGUCCGUGUGGGGCAGGCAGGUGCCUACGAGGGGCAGGGGCGUGUGUUGGC
RNAcentral lists this long non-coding RNA (1355 nucleotides) under Homo sapiens (human). RNAcentral's name for it is "HSALNT0002881". Lineage: Eukaryota; Metazoa; Chordata; Mammalia; Primates; Hominidae. The record is from RNAcentral.